AAUCAACGCUGGCGGCAUGCCUAACACAUGCAAGUCGAACGAGAAAGUGGAGCAAUCCAUGAGUAAAGUGGCGCACGGGUGAGUAACACGUGACUAACCUACCUCCGAGUGGGGAAUAACUCCGGGAAACCGGGGCUAAGACCGCAUAAUGUCGAGAGACCAAAUGCGAAAGCAGCUUGGAGAGGGGGUCGCGGUUGAUUAGCUAGUUGGUGAGGUAAUGGCUCACCAAGGCUAUGAUCAGUAUCCGGCCUGAGAGGGCGCACGGACACACUGGAACUGAAACACGGUCCAGACUCCUACGGGAGGCAGCAGUGGGGAAUUUUGCGCAAUGGGGGAAACCCUGACGCAGCAAUGCCGCGUGGAGGAUGAAGGUCUUUGGAUUGUAAACUCCUUUCGAUCGGGACGAUUAUGACGGUACCGGAAGAAGAAGCACCGGCUAACUCUGUGCCAGCAGCCGCGGUAAUACAGAGGGUGCAAGCGUUGUUCGGAAUUAUUGGGCG
RNAcentral lists this ribosomal RNA (500 nucleotides) under uncultured bacterium. Its description in RNAcentral is "bacterial SSU rRNA". It matches the Rfam family "Bacterial small subunit ribosomal RNA", at positions 28 to 560 of the family's 1533-position model. The record is from RNAcentral.